RNAcentral lists this ribosomal RNA (253 nucleotides) under uncultured bacterium. RNAcentral's name for it is "partial 16S ribosomal RNA". It matches the Rfam family "Bacterial small subunit ribosomal RNA", at positions 524 to 776 of the family's 1533-position model. The record is from RNAcentral.
UACGGAGGGAGCUAGCGUUGUUCGGAAAUACUGGGCGUAAAGCGCACGUAGGCGGCUUUGUAAGUUAGAGGUGAAAGCCCGGAGCUCAACUCCGGAACUGCCUUUAAGACUGCAUCGCUUGAACGUCGGAGAGGUAAGUGGAAUUCCGAGUGUAGAGGUGAAAUUCGUAGAUAUUCGGAAGAACACCAGUGGCGAAGGCGACUUACUGGACGACUGUUGACGCUGAGGUGCGAAAGCGUGGGGAGCAAACAGG